CAGUAGCCACGGGAAUACGUAGGUGGCAAGCGUUGUCCGGAAUUAUUGGGCGUAAAGGGCUCGCAGGCGGUUUCUUAAGUCUGAUGUGAAAGCCCCCGGCUCAACCGGGGAGGGUCAUUGGAAGCUGGGAAACUUGAGUGCAGAAGAGGAGAGUGGAAUUCCACGUGUAGCGGUGAAAUGCGUAGAGAUGUGGAGGAACACCAGUGGCGAAGGCGACUCUCUGGUCUGUAACUGACGCUGAGGAGCGAAAGCGUGGGGAGCGAACAGGAUUAGAUACCCGGGUAGUCCCUGUCUCUUAUAC
Molecule: ribosomal RNA, 301 nt
Filed under: uncultured bacterium
Lineage: Bacteria
Description: partial 16S ribosomal RNA
Rfam family: Bacterial small subunit ribosomal RNA
Source: RNAcentral